Molecule: small RNA, 102 nt
Filed under: Arabidopsis thaliana (thale cress)
Lineage: Eukaryota; Viridiplantae; Streptophyta; Magnoliopsida; Brassicales; Brassicaceae
Description: ATSL228690
Source: RNAcentral
CUGAAGAAUAACAUAGAAGCUCCAACUCAAGCAGCUGCACACUAGCAUAAGCCCUCCUCUUAGGAUGUCCUCAUCAUGUCUGUGGAUCUUCUUUGCGUGCAG